AUUGAACGCUGGCGGAAUGCUUUACACAUGCAAGUCGAACGGCAGCACGGGAGCAAUCCUGGUGGCGAGUGGCGAACGGGUGAGUAAUAUAUCGGAACGUGCCCAGUCGUGGGGGAGUAACGUAGCGAAAGUUAACGCUAAUACCGCAUAAGCCCUCGAGGGGGAAAGGACAGGGGAGUCGCAAGACCUUGCGCGAAUGGAGCGGCCGAUGUCAGAUUAGCUAGUUGGUGGGGUAAAGGCCGUACCAAGGCGACGAUCCGUAGCGGGUCUGAGAGGAUGAUCCGCCACACUGGGACUGAGACACGGCCCAGACUCUACGGGAGGCAGCAGUGGGGAAGUUUUGGUACGAA
This 350-nucleotide ribosomal RNA is filed under the name uncultured bacterium. Its description in RNAcentral is "bacterial SSU rRNA". It matches the Rfam family "Bacterial small subunit ribosomal RNA", at positions 29 to 374 of the family's 1533-position model. The record is from RNAcentral.